Molecule: ribosomal RNA, 496 nt
Filed under: uncultured bacterium
Lineage: Bacteria
Description: partial 16S ribosomal RNA
Rfam family: Bacterial small subunit ribosomal RNA
Source: RNAcentral
AUUGAACGCUGGCGGAAUGCUUUACACAUGCAAGUCGAACGGUAGAGGGGGCAACCCCUCGAGAGUGGCGAACGGGUGAGUAAUAUAUCGGAACGUGCCCAGUCGUGGGGGAUAGCGUAGCGAAAGUUACGCUGAUACCGCAUACGAUCUAAGGAUGAAAGCGGGGGAUCGCAAGACCUCGCGCGAUUGGAGCGGCCGAUAUCAGAUUAGGUAGUUGGUGGGGUAAAGGCUCACCAAGCCAACGAUCUGUAGCUGGUAUGCGAGGACGACCAGCCACACUGGAACUGAGACACGGUCCAGACUCCUACGGGAGGCAGCAGUGUGGAAUUUUGGACAAUGGACGCAAGUCUGAUCCAGCCAUUCCGCGUGCAGGACGAAGGCCCUCGGGUUGUAAACUGCUUUUUUACGGAACGAAAAGGUCUCUCUUAAUACGGGGGACUCAUGACGGUACCGUAAGAAUAAGCACCGGCUAACUACGUGCCAGCCGCCGCGGUAA